GACGAACGCUGGCGGCGUGCUUAACACAUGCAAGUCGAACGGAAAGGCCCUGCUUUUGUGGGGUGCUCGAGUGGCGAACGGGUGAGUAACACGUGAGUAACCUGCCCUUGACUUUGGGAUAACUUCAGGAAACUGGGGCUAAUACCGGAUAGGAGCUCCUGCUGCAUGGUGGGGGUUGGAAAGUUUCGGCGGUUGGGGCUGGACUCGCGGCUUAUCAGCUUGUUGGUGGGGUAGUGGCUUACCAAGGCUUUGACGGGUAGCCGGCCUGAGAGGGUGACCGGCCACAUGGGGACUGAGAUACGGCCCAGACUCCUACGGGAGGCAGCAGUGGGGAAUAUUGCACAAUGGGCGGAAGCCUGAUGCAGCAACGCCGCGUGCGGGAUGACGGCCUUCGGGUUGUAAACCGCUUUCGCCUGUGACGAAGCGUGAGUGACGGUAAUGGGUAAAGAAGCACCGGCUAACUACGUG
RNAcentral lists this ribosomal RNA (468 nucleotides) under uncultured bacterium. RNAcentral describes it as "partial 16S ribosomal RNA". It matches the Rfam family "Bacterial small subunit ribosomal RNA", at positions 28 to 507 of the family's 1533-position model. The record is from RNAcentral.